GCUGGCGUGGCGCAGUUGGUAGCGCGCUUGACUGUGGAUCAAGAGGUCGGCGGUUCGAGCCCGCCCGCCAGUACCA
RNAcentral lists this transfer RNA (76 nucleotides) under Acidobacteriota bacterium. RNAcentral describes it as "Acidobacteria bacterium (groundwater metagenome) tRNA-His". It matches the Rfam family "tRNA". Rfam says of the family: Transfer RNA (tRNA) molecules are approximately 80 nucleotides in length. The record is from RNAcentral. Lineage: Bacteria; Pseudomonadati; Acidobacteriota.